This 1438-nucleotide ribosomal RNA is filed under the name metagenome. RNAcentral's name for it is "bacterial SSU rRNA". It matches the Rfam family "Bacterial small subunit ribosomal RNA". The record is from RNAcentral.
AACACAUGCAAGUCGAGGGGUAACAGGAGAGCUUGCUCUCGCUGACGACCGGCGCACGGGUGCGUAACGCGUAUGCAACUUACCCUUAACAGGGGGAUAGCCCGGAGAAAUCCGGAUUAAUACCCCAUAAUAUCAUUUUAUGGCAUCAUAAGAUGAUUAAAAUUCAGGUGGUUAAGGAUGGGCAUGCGUGACAUUAGCUAGUUGGUGUGGUAACGGCACACCAAGGCUACGAUGUCUAGGGGGUCUGAGAGGAUGAUCCCCCACACUGGUACUGAGACACGGACCAGACUCCUACGGGAGGCAGCAGUGAGGAAUAUUGGUCAAUGGACGCAAGUCUGAACCAGCCAUGCCGCGUGCAGGAUGACUGCCCUAUGGGUUGUAACUGCUUUUGUACGGGAAUAAUUGUAGCUACGUGUAGUUGCUUGCAUGUACCGUACGAAUAAGGAUCGGCUAACUCCGUGCCAGCAGCCGCGGUAAUACGGAGGAUCCAAGCGUUAUCCGGAUUCAUUGGGUUUAAAGGGUGCGUAGGCGGGAUAAUAAGUCAGUGGUGAAAUCUUGCGGCUCAACCGUAAAACUGCCAUUGAUACUGUUAUUCUUGAGUUCGGUUGAAGUAGGCGGAAUGUGUAAUGUAGCGGUGAAAUGCUUAGAUAUUACACAGAACACCGAUUGCGUAGGCAGCUUACUAAGCCGUAACUGACGCUGAGGCACGAAAGCGUGGGUAGCGAACAGGAUUAGAUACCCUGGUAGUCCACGCCGUAAACGAUGAUUUCUCGUUGUUGGCAAUACAUAGUCAGCGACCAAGUGAAAGCAUUAAGUAAUCCACCUGGGGAGUACGCUCGCAAGAGUGAAACUCAAAGGAAUUGACGGGGGCCCGCACAAGCGGUGGAACAUGUGGUUUAAUUCGAUGAUACGCGAGGAACCUUACCUGGGCUUAAAUGCAGGGCGAUAUUCUGGGAAACCAGUGUCUCUUCGGAGCGACCUGCAAGGUGCUGCAUGGUUGUCGUCAGCUCGUGCCGUGAGGUGUCGGGUUAAGUCCCAUAACGAGCGCAACCCCUAUCGUUAGUUGCCAUCGGGUCAUGCCGGGGACUCUAACGAAACUGCCGGUGUAAACCGUGAGGAAGGUGGGGAUGACGUCAAAUCAGCACGGCCCUUAUGUCCAGGGCUACACACGUGUUACAAUGGCCGGUACAGAGGGCAGCUACCUGGUAACAGGAUGCGAAUCUCGAAAGCCGGUCUCAGUUCGGAUUGAAGUCUGCAACUCGACUUCAUGAAGCUGGAAUCGCUAGUAAUCGCGUAUCAGCAAUGACGCGGUGAAUACGUUCCCGGGCCUUGUACACACCGCCCGUCAAACCAUGGAAGCUGGGGGUGCCUGAAGUCUGUUACCGUAAGGAGCGGCCUAGGGUAAAACUAGUAACUGGGGUUAAGUCGAAACAAGGUA